CAUGGAUGAAAAGUGGAAGGCACUAUAAAAACUACCUACAGUUGUGUAAAAGAAUGACAUCCUGUCUUAGUCUGUUUGCUGUUGCUAUAACAAAAUAUUGGAAUCUACAUAAUUUAUAUAGAAAACAAGUUUAUUCAUGUCACAUUUCUGGGUGGAAGUGGGGAAGGCCAAAGGCAUAGAGCCAGCAUCAUCUUGGCUUCUGAUGGGUGCCUUCUCAUGCUCCUGGCAUGGUUGAAAAGCAGAUGCACAAGCAGGUCAUGUGCCAUGAGACGGAGGGCUGACCUCCUGUAGUAGCUAAGUCAUAUCCAUGAGAAAAACAUUAAUCCAUCUGGAAGGCUUUGCUCCAUGACCUGAACACCUCCUACUAGGCCCACCACCCAGUCCUUCCACAGAGGAAUUAAAGCUGAACCUGAAUUGUAGCAGGGACAAACCAUGUUGAAGCUAUAGCAAAUUUCACAUUUGAAAAUUUUCUGUAAGGUCAUCAUUAUGUAGUUACAGUGAAAAGUAGUAAUUUUUUUAAGUGGGGGAAAGGUUUGUGUAAGCAGGCAAAUGAAUGCGUUACAGGGACGGCCAUGGAAAAUGCUUGGCCAGCACUGGGCAUGUUACUUAGCAAGGUGUUGCUGACAGCGGAUGGAGCAAGGGCUGGAAGCAGAGAGAGCUGGGCUAGAAGCCAGGCUCCACUUCAUACCAGAAGCAUGAGCCCAGACAAGUUCCUGAACUCCCUAUGGCUUACAGAGCUGCAGAAAUGGAUGAAUAAGACCUGCUUGUAUGGUUCUUGCGGGUGGGGACCAGAUCUGCUUGGAGGCCGGUAUGUGCUGGGAGAUCAGUGAAUGGUGAUUGUAAGAUGUGAUGCUGCUCUCUUUCUCUCUUCAUAUUUUCAGAAAUUGUUGAUACCGCCGUGGGGAGAAGGAAAUCCAGUUUAAAAGGAAACAUUUGCAAAUAUGUUUCUGUUCAGGAAAUCAGCUGCAGACUGCACAGUUCUUUCCAGGACAGAAGAGAAUUUCCAGGACCUCUAGCCAGGGAGGAGAGAAAUCAAAUGGAGAGAGAAAACAGCUGACUUAUGAAUGUGAACAGAAACUCAGACCACCUGAUGUCUGCAGAGAAAUCUGUCGCCUGCAAAAGCCUGUAUGUGUCUCCCUUGAAAAUCCAGGCCAGCAACACAGCGGCAGUCCUCAUCUCUGUCCACUCCUCCCGCCGGGGGAAAAAAAUUCAGCACCUGUGUAUACCAAGUCCUUUUCAAGAUAUUCCUUUUCAUACUGGGCUAGGGAGGCAGCGUGACCUGUGUGGGUAACCACAGCCCUCUCACUCCCAAGGCAAGAAAACCCAAAGGCUGCCUCUCCCUUCCCAGCCUGCUUGCUGGUAGAUCUGGUUCGACUAAGCUCACAGCUGGGGGACAGGACAGGGCAAGGCACACGAAGGAGGAAGCUGUCUGCUCUGGGCCUAGAUGUUUACGACAAUCAUUAGGAUGAGAAAUAAUUAGGUGCCUGCACUGAAGACAGAAAUGAAUCAACAGUCAUACGGGAUGUGGGAGUCAAGGACCAUUCAUUCCUCUGUUUAGACUGUAUUUGGGACCAUGAAUGGGGACAAGAAAGACCAGAGAAGGAACCGCUUUGGGAAGGGAGAAGGAAGAUCCAAGAUUCUGCUCUGGAUGGACCAAGGUGGUGGUUUGUUGUGUGGACAAGUGGGGAACUGGCCACAUGAAUGUGGGUGGAAGCUCAAAUUUGUGAGCUACCAGCAGAAGAAAUCUUGGUAAAUGAGAACACCAAUGGAGUGAGUGCAGAUGGGAAUGAGGAACAGGCCAAGCACCCAGGACACGCCCUCCAACCUUCAGAAGAUGGGAGGGGAAGAACCCAGGAGGGCAGAGUUCUGAAUGUUUCAUGCACUGCUAUAUUCCCGGCACUGGACACAAUGCCUGGCACACAGUAUGUGCCCAUUAGAGCAUAUGUUGACUAUGUCAGUGAAAUUGCAUUCCAGGGAACUAGAAUCUUCCAUUUGAAGUACGUAACAAUAGCCACACCACACUCACCUACCCCCUCACGCUCCACCCCUUCUCAUCUUCCUCUCCUCUUUUCUUCUGCCUUCUUGCCUGAUCUAUGCUACCCACUGGGGCACCCAGGCACCCUGGCUUGAGCAUUACCUAUUUGCAUCAACUCUGGGUGAUGCUGGUUGCUGGCUCAGUGACCAAGCCAGUCUAGAGCCUUCUUUUUGCCUAUGUGCUGUACAUUGUUUUAAAAAAUGUCACACUUGGUCUUAUUGGACUGCUCCUUCUAUUGGAGCAUUUUUCAGUUGGCUAAUGCUAUUGUGAUUUCUACUUCCACUUCUUACAUUAAUGCCUCCCAGGUUGGUGUCAUCUGUGAUCUUAGGAAAUUCCUGGGUACAUCACUGGGGUAAAGCUAGAGAUAUUUCCCACAGGCUCCAUUCUAACACAAGUGAGGUCAUACAGGACACUUCCAGGUCAAGGCUACAUCACUGAUAAGGAGCCUUUUGGGCGAUGUUAUUCAGCUCUUAGUGCCUGCAUUGAAGACAGAAAAAUCUGUCUUGUUUCCUUCUAUUCAGUUGAUGAAAACUUAUUCACAAUGGAGUCUAAGGCCACAUUCCAGCCCAGAGAGAUUCUAUCUCUUGCUCAUUCCUUAUCUAUGCAGCUUAUCUGCCAUUGAAUUAAACUUGUCCACCAAGACUUCAUCUGCACAUACCAUGAGGGUGAGUGCAAACUGCUUGCUUGUUGUUGCUGGACUCAUUCAAGAAAGGAGGACUUGUAUUGGGACCUCCCUGGGAGUUGGGCGGAGUGGGGCACAGGACAUCAGAGAGCACAAGCAAGGAUCAAGGCCACCCUCACCCCCAGGCACUAUGCCAGCAGGUGAUGUAGACUUUCUCAUUUAAUGUACAUAACAGCCCAGAAAGGUUGAUAUGUUUGUUUCUGUUUUCCAGCUAGGGAAACCGAGGCUCAGUGGGAAACACCUGAGGUAGAGCUUUAAUUUCACACCCUUUGGGCUGACUCCCAGCAGUUGUAAAUGUGUGCUACCCUGAACAUUACUACCAUGUUGUAGCAGAGAUUUCUAAACUCACCCUGAAACACCACCGCGGUGUGGAUGACUUCACCAUGCAUAACUCUGUUCUACAAGGUCCUGUCCCCAUCUUUGAUUCUCCUGGACAUUUCUGCCUGGAAAUCCUACUAAAAGCUAGAGCUCAAUACAUAGUCAAAUAACUCUCUUCCCUGCUAAAGCCAGGCCUCCUUCCCUUGCCACCCUACCCUUUUCAGAGGUAUGUGAUUUUUUUAAACUUCUCGAAAGACCAGUUAUUAGAAACCUCUCCCCAGGGAUUUAAUCUCCAAAAUAUUUCUCGCCUCUCUCCCUUUUCCAUCUCCACCACCAUUACCCUUUGGGCCUCAGUCCAUAUGGUUCCGUUUUCUCCAAUGGCAAAACACAUCUCUCCCCAGCUUUCACAGUUUAAACACAGCUCGAUCAAGUCAGUUCCUCAGACCCCGGCACCUAUGCAUUGGAAUCACCUGAUAUAAAGCACUGAGAAUUAGUCAGCAUCCUGGGUGUCCCCUUUUUAAAGCCCUUUUCAGAAGUCACAUCAGGUGUAUUUGUUCUUCUGAGAUCAAGGACACUGUCAGGUUCUGAGGAUCAGACCCAGCCCCCAGGCAUUGAGAAGUUGUGACCCUCGCUGUGUUCUUGUCUUUUUGGAUUGGAUGAAGGCCGGGAGGCUAUGCUACUAAUAAAGAGUCAAGUACCAUAGGUGAAAGUUAGCAUCGUUGUGCUUUCUGAUGUUUCCCCGAAAGAUAUCUGCUGUUUUCCAGUUACUCAGGUGAAUGGUGCCCCCGUUAAGCCUUUGACCUCCCCACUAGAGGGUGAUGCUUUAGGCUUACCAGCUGCAGUUUAUGGAUUUUCUGAUCGGCUUUCUCUGACCUCUCUUCCGGGAGACAGUCCUUUGGUUGGCAAAUCUGGCCAAUUAAACCAGAAUGUAAUGGCGGUAUUUCUUUUUGUGUUCCAUAUAACUAUGAAGUGCUCCACACCAAAGAGAAUCCCACAGCCCAACAAGUUUAGUACAUCUCUUGGAGAUCCACUUUAGCAUGUUAAAAGCUCUGAGAA
Long non-coding RNA from Chinchilla lanigera (long-tailed chinchilla), 4091 nucleotides. RefSeq lists it as uncharacterized. The transcript is spliced from 3 exons. NCBI's taxonomy places the organism in Eukaryota, Metazoa, Chordata, Mammalia, Rodentia, Chinchillidae. The record is from RefSeq and is a predicted model, not a curated record.